CCUUUUCAAUUCUUCGCUCUUCCGCAUUUUGUCAACCGACUUCCGCUGCUAAUAUGGCACAGUGCAUUCGGUAGCUAGUUUGGUGGUUAGAAGAUUGUUUGUAGUUCACUAUAACUUUAGCGAAAUGACAAAUAUCGCAACUGCUGUAAAUGUUUUGAAUUAGGAGCACGGAGAAAACUUGAUACGACGCUCGGAUAGUCUUAUAAUGUCCCAUCAAUCGUCUCGUGGUUAGACGAUAUGAAGCGGCCGCGGCAAGAAACCUAUGGGACAUAUUUAAUUACCUCGUCCUCUCAGAAGGAGUUGAUGGAGCAGCAUUAUUAAAGUAAUUAUGCUUACCAAUAUUUACACAGUGAUUUCGUCUUUUUUAAAGCAAAUGUGCACCUUAGCCAGUCCAAUAACUAUUUCGUUUUUAUGUGGUAAUGUACCAUGAUAGAAUUCAUUUGCAAACUUGCCAACACUUAUUCCUUCAAAUCACGAGACUUAAAUCCUUUUAAGUGGAAUCUACAAAGCUCACAUAUGGUUUAAGAAAUUCCUUACAGAUAAUAUCUGAUCACACUGUAAAUGUUUAAUAUAACUGCACAACAUCUGAUCACAUUGUAAAGGUUUAAUAUAACUGCAUGACAGAUAACAUCUGAUCACAUUGUAAAGAUUUAAUAUAACUGCACAACAUCUGAUCACAUUGUAAAGGUUUAAUAUAACUGCAUGACAGAUAACAUCUGAUCACAUUGUAAAGAUUUAAUAUAACUGCACAACAUCUGAUCACAUUGUAAAGAUUUAAUAUAACUGCACAACAUCUGAUCACAUUGUAAAGGUUUAAUAUAACUGCAUGGCAGGUAAUAUCUGAUCACAUUAUAAAGGUUUAAUAUAAAUGCACAACAGAUCACAUUGUAAAUGUUUAAUAUCACUGCAUGACAUCUGAUCACAUAUGAAGGUUUAAAUGUAACUUUACAACAGGUAAAAUCAGGUCAAA
Molecule: non-coding RNA, 970 nt
Organism: Paramisgurnus dabryanus
Lineage: Eukaryota; Metazoa; Chordata; Actinopteri; Cypriniformes; Cobitidae
Source: RefSeq, a predicted model, not a curated record